AUACGUAGGGAGCGAGCGUUGUCCGGAAUUACUGGGCGUAAAGGGCGCGUAGGCGGCGCUUCAAGUCGUCUGUCAAAUGGGAGGGCUUAACCCUUUUUCGCAGACGAAACUGGAGAGCUUGAGAAGCAGAGAGGCAAACAGAAUUCCUGGUGUAGCGGGGAGAUGCGUAGAUAUCAGGAAGAAUCACAGUGGCGAAAGCGGUUUGCUGGCUGAAUAGUGACGCUGAAGCGAGAAAGCCAGGGGAGCAAACGGGAUUAGAUACCCCGGUAGUCCUGGCAGUAAACGAUGUAUGCUGGGUGUGAGACUAGCGAUAGUUUCGUGCCGAAGUUAACGCGAUAAGCAUACCGCCUGGGGAGUACGGUCGCAAGAUUGAAACUCAAAGGAAUUGACGGGG
RNAcentral lists this ribosomal RNA (394 nucleotides) under uncultured bacterium. RNAcentral describes it as "partial 16S ribosomal RNA". It matches the Rfam family "Bacterial small subunit ribosomal RNA", at positions 523 to 918 of the family's 1533-position model. The record is from RNAcentral.